RNAcentral lists this ribosomal RNA (335 nucleotides) under uncultured bacterium. RNAcentral's name for it is "bacterial SSU rRNA". It matches the Rfam family "Bacterial small subunit ribosomal RNA", at positions 190 to 507 of the family's 1533-position model. The record is from RNAcentral.
UACGACGAGGGUGAAAGCGGGGACCGCAAGGCCUCGCGCGAUUGGAUGAGCCGACGUCGGAUUAGCUAGUUGGCGGGGUAAAGGCCCACCAAGGCGACGAUCCGUAGCUGGUCUGAGAGGAUGAUCAGCCACACUGGAACUGAGACACGGUCCAGACUCCUACGGGAGGCAGCAGUGGGGAAUAUUGGACAAUGGGCGCAAGCCUGAUCCAGCAAUGCCGCGUGUGUGAAGAAGGCCUUCGGGUUGUAAAGCACUUUUAUCAGGAACGAAAAGCGUUGGAUUAAUACUCUGACGUGCUGACGGUACCUGAGGAAUAAGCACCGGCUAACUUCGUG